GACGAACGCUGGCGGCGUGCUUAACACAUGCAAGUCGAACGGAAAGGCCCUGCUUUUGUGGGGUGCUCGAGUGGCGAACGGGUGAGUAACACGUGAGUAACCUGCCCUUGACUUUGGGAUAACUUCAGGAAACUGGGGCUAAUACCGGAUAGGAGCUCCUGCUGCAUGGUGGGGGUUGGAAAGUUUCGGCGGUUGGGGAUGGACUCGCGGCUUAUCAGCUUGUUGGUGGGGUAGUGGCUUACCAAGGCUUUGACGGGUAGCCGGCCUGAGAGGGUGACCGGCCACAUUGGGACUGAGAUACGGCCCAGACUCCUACGGGAGGCAGCAGUGGGGAAUAUUGCACAAUGGGCGGAGGCCUGAUGCAGCAACGCCGCGUGCGGGAUGACGGCCUUCGGGUUGUAAACCGCUUUCGCCUGUGACGAAGCGUGAGUGACGGUAAUGGGUAAAGAAGCACCGGCUAACUACGUGCCAGCAGCCGCGGUGAUACGUAGGGUGCGAGCGUUGUCCGGAUUUAUUGGGCGUAAAGGGCUCGUAGGUGGUUGAUCGCGUCGGAAGUGUAAUCUUGGGGCUUAACCCUGAGCGUGCUUUCGAUACGGGUUGACUUGAGGAAGGUAGGGGAGAAUGGAAUUCCUGGUGGAGCGGUGGAAUGCGCAGAUAUCAGGAGGAACACCAGUGGCGAAGGCGGUUCUCUGGGCCUUUCCUGACGCUGAGGAGCGAAAGCGUGGGGAGCGAACAGGCCUAGAUACCCUGGUAGUCCACGCUGUAAACGGUGGGUACUAGGUGUGGGGUCCAUUCCACGGGUUCCGUGCCGUAGCUAACGCUUUAAGUACCCCGCCUGGGGAGUACGGCCGCAAGGCUAAAACUCAAAGGAAUUGACGGGGCCCCGCACAAGCGGCGGAGCAUGCGGAUUAAUUCGAUGCAACGCGUAGAACCUUACCUGGGUUUGACAUGGAUCGGGAGUGCUCAGAGAUGGGUGUGCCUCUUUUGGGGUCGGUUCACAGGUGGUGCAUGGCUGUCGUCCGCUCGUGUCGUGAGAUGUUGGGUUAAGUCCCGCAACGAGCGCAACCCUUGUUCACUGUUGCCAGCACGUUAUGGUGGGGACUCAGUGGAGACCGCCGGGGUCAACUCGGAGGAAGGUGGGGAUGACGUCAAGUCAUCAUGCCCCUUAUGUCCAGGGCUUCACGCAUGCUACAAUGGCUGGUACAGAGAGUGGCGAGCCUGUGAGGGUGAGCGAAUCUCGGAAAGCCGGUCUCAGUUCGGAUUGGGGUCUGCAACUCGACCUCAUGAAGUCGGAGUCGCUAGUAAUCGCAGAUCAGCAACGCUGCGGUGAAUACGUUCCCGGG
RNAcentral lists this ribosomal RNA (1343 nucleotides) under uncultured bacterium. RNAcentral's name for it is "16S ribosomal RNA". It matches the Rfam family "Bacterial small subunit ribosomal RNA", at positions 28 to 1378 of the family's 1533-position model. The record is from RNAcentral.